CACAGUGGACGCUUAACUAAAUCAAGGGCACUUGUGUCUGCCUCCAUGAGUGGUCAUGGUGGCGUAGUAAGGGCACACGUCCUCGUUACCGGAGGUCCCGGGCGGCACACAAUUGCAACGGGCACAACAGGUUCCGCAUGCCCUCUUGCACAUCUUCCGCCUUGAUGUCAACCGGCACCUAGUGGCGCAUGCCGCUCCGCAAUCUGAAAAAGAGAAGCUCGUGGCUAAUAACAUGGACUAACGAUACAAAAGAAAAUGUCAUACUGAAUAUAAAGACAUGUUGUGUGUACAUCAUUCAUCCAUAAUUUAACCAUUUUAAUUCGCGGGAAAAUAAUUUGUCGAAUACGAUAUCAGAGCUCCCGUUAUUCUCGAUUCUCGAAUCAGAGCUCCGGUUUAUUCUCGAUUCUCGAAUCAACCGAGCUGAUUGUAGUCUCAAUCUACAUAGUAGCUAUGCAAAACCAUCAUAACUAAAAGCAUUUAAAUUGAGAUUUCACCUAUCUUUUUGGCGAUAGAACUCUACUGAAUCUGCGCUCACCUCCUGCUACACAACAUAUGUGGUCGGGAUUAGCCAAGGUAUGAAAGACUAUACAAAACUUCAUCAACAAGUACACGGCGUUGAGAGAGAGAGAGAGAUAGAGAGGAAGGAGAUUUCAUUUACCGUAGCAUCAGCUGCUUCAACCAGCAGAUGGAGAACGAGGAGGGAAAGGAGCAAACAAGCCAAAACCUUGGACAGAGACAUGACUGCUUGAAUGAUUGUGAUCAAUGGUGGGUGUCAAGUAUGUUUUUCUUGUCUCUUGUAGGAUGGUGCAAUACGUCGAGAGCAAAGGAGUCUUAUAUAGGGAGUACUGAAUCGAGUUGAGGAUUGUAAUUCUAGGUGAGUUUCAUGCGAGGACGGGGAUAUUCGGCGCAUAAGCAACGAAGCAAGAGAACGAAAAUUCUAAUUGGUACACUUGGUGAUGCAUCAGACGCGUGCAGGUACAUUUGGUGGAGAGAAAAAGCUAAAGAGAAGCGCUCUGGAGUCAUCCGGACGUGCCAAAACUCUUUUCGACUAUUGCUUUGAUUUCAUUUGCUUUUCUGGUGGAAGAUAGCUAUGGUCCCAAAGCACAAGCAGCUCGUGGUUUUGAAGGUAGGCGUUGACAUGAGUCCCUUUCAUAAGAGAAAUAGAGAAUGGACAGUGCAAAUUCUUUAAUCAGAAGCUAAGUUGUAACGCAAUUCUGCACUCCGUGGGGACAAAUAAGAAGGGUGUGAGAAAAAAAAUUAUUUUCUUUACCAAAAAAAUAAAUAAAUAAGAAGGGUGUGAGAAAGAUGCGGCAGCUGUGCGAUGUCAAUACUUUGCACGCAAUACAGCAGAAGGUGCUUAAAAGUCUUCUUGCAUUGUCAUUUAGCUGAGUUAUCUUUUGCAUUAACAAUUCAGAUUCAAGUCCCUAAACCAAUCAAAGACGGUUUAUAUACUCUGGGAUAGAUGAUUGUAGGUCCCCUCUGCCGGCCGAGUUUAAGCAAUUAUACAUAGAGAGACCGCUUUUAAGUCGGUGCUCGGGAAAUGAAAAGAGCUGUGAUCUUAGAUAGAACGUGCUCGUGGAAUCCCAAUUGAAAUCAGGCCAUUCCCGAUAAUGGUUUGCGACAGAUGGAGGCAGUCUUGGAUUGAGGGUGAGUUAGAUUCAAUUUUACAAAUGAGCUUUAAGUGUAAUGUAAAUGCUAAAACCCAAAAUCCUUGGAGAAAUGUAAAUUGUAUUGGUAAAAACUCUUUGCAAGUUUAGAUUCGAGUAGUGUUAGGCCAAAAAAAAAAUUACAAUGGACUUUGACUAUAUUUUUUGUUUUUUUUAUAUUAUUAUUUAAAAAGAAUUCAAGCCCUUUGCCGGAGUUGGCAAAAGGCUAUGGAAGUCGGUGAGCCACAUUUAGCUCCAGUAGCCAUCAGCUGAGGUUGCUUGACCUUUGGUGAGGGUUGUGCAACUCAAGCAAGGUUUGCAUUGAUAUUGCUAGUAUGAGUACCUAGAGGGGGGUGAAUAGGUAUAUAAAGAAUUUUUCUCAAUCAAUUACACAAUACUAGACAGUUGGAUGAAACGAUAAUCAAAGUAAGACUGAGAGAAGAGAAAAUUGAAUACGCGGUUUAUAGUGGUUCGGCUUAUAUCAAGUCUACGUCCACUCUUCUUCACUAACAGCCUAUUGGCUGGAUUCCACUAUGAACAAGAGAGAGGUUACAGCGCAGCUUUGCCUUGAUUCCACAGUGUAGAUGUUCUACCACACCUCCUCAAGAUUUCUCACAAAUAUAUACUCUCUCUUUCGUAUACAAGUAUUCGCUCAAAGGAUUUGUCUAAACAAAAAGGAGCUUCAGACUUUGGAAUUCUUCUAUCGCGCACCCCUUGAACAACUAAGACAGUCUUCCUUAUAUACUCCUUUAUGCCAUCAUACCCGUUGGCACUUACCAAAAGAAUUCCUCCAAUCUACCCGUUGGACGGAAUCAAUUAGGAAGAUUGUCCAAGCUAUAAAUGGAACGUGUUGAUAGCCCAUCAAUCCUGUUCGCCCAUACAAUCAGGAUCUCGGUUUCCAUAAGCAGAACCUUCCAAUAAUAUUUAGGCAAUCACCGGAUCUUCAAUUAUCGAAUCAAUCUUCGAUCAAUCAAAGGACUCCGUUUAUGUCUUCUCCAGCCAUGAGGUCUUCUCCAGUUGAAAAGGUUAAAUCAUCAACGAAACAUCCAGUUCUGGAUAACAUUUCUUCAACGGAUUAGAGACUGUCAAUGAGGAUAGACUUUGAGUCUUGAGUCUGGCUGUCCCAAAGUUUUCAGACUUUAAAUAGCAGAGUCUGCAAGCCUUCAGACUAGACUGAUAGAAACGAUUUGUCAACUUCAAAACACUUCAAGAAGAUUUCUCCAACAAUCUCCCCCUUUUUUAUGGUGACAAAACUUUCCUGCGGAUUUGGAUAUCUUUGACCUGCAAAACAUUUCUCAAACACAUAUGCAUAUCUUAUAGAGGUAAAUGGCUUAACAGAAUAACACUAGAAUCUGCAACCAUAUAAAAUAGGUUAGUCCAGUAUAUGAAGAAGCCAUCCAUAAGAUAUCAAUAUUAGUCAAUAAAAGCAGUCAAGUCCAAGUCUAGUUCAGUUCUUAUCCAGACACAAACCAAAGUCAAACAGAUUCAAACCACAAAACAAUCCAACAAAACAAUUAAAAGUUGAAUGAAAGGUUUUUGAUCAAAUCUUGCAUCUCUCCCCCUUUUUGUCAUCAUUAAAAAGGAUGAGAUGAAGUUAAGAUUGCUUGGGAAUGCGGACAAGCUGGAAAUCUUCCAUAGACUGAACGAUGCCUUCCAGCCUUUUAAAGUCUUCCUUUAGCUGUGCAAUCUCCUCACUCUUGGCAUUGGCCUGAUUCUGAACAGAGAGGGCUUGCAUUUUAUCAUUCAAUGAACAGGAAGAAGCUUGACCUUCAUUCUUCAAGCUUUGAACUUCGCAUCCCAAGGCAUAAAUCUGACCUCGCAUCUCCAAAAGAAUAUCCAUGAUUCUUCUUCUGGAAAUUGAGAUGCAUAAACAUCCUCUGGGUCUGCUGGUGAGCGACUGACUCCUUCACUUGCAUCAGGACAUGAAGACUUCACUCCUUUCUCCUGAUCUCCCCCUGUUUCCAUGCCUACAAGUGGAGAAGAGUGUUCUUCAGGUUCUCAUUCUUCUCUUCUUUCUUCUUCAGGUCUUUCCUCCUCUGUUUCUUUUUCAGCUUCUAUUUCUUCUUCUUCCUUCUCCUCUGCUUCUUUCGUCAUUUGCUCCGAUUCUUUCUGUGGAACAGGACGACUUAAAUUCUUCAAAGCCAAUGCAGAGAUAGUGAUGUCUUCCUCAUCAUCUUCAUCCUCAACAAGGAGAGCUCUUCUUCUCUUGGAUGGAGCAACCAUGGGCUCCUUCCCUUUUCUUUUAGCUGUAGAAGAUAUUUGAUGAGAUUUUGCAGGAGUCUUCUCCUUGAAUUUCUCCAACUCCUUGCUCAGUUCCUUCAGACGCAUUUUGGUCACCAUUUUCAGACCUACCACCAUAUGAUCGCAUGGUCAAACACAAAAGAUUUGUGGAGGCUGAAUAUUCAGAUGUCUGAAUAACUUCGUAACAAGGCUUGGGUAAGGGAGUUGACCUCUGUCCUUCAUCAUUGCUCUAUACAUGUGAAACAUCACAGUGUGAGGGAGAGAAAACCUUUUUCCAAAGAGAAUGGCAUACAUCAACUUGGCCUCUGAACUUGAAACAUCAGUCUUAGAAGUUGAUUUCGGUCGGAGGCAAUUAAUCACAAUCUUGUGAAGCAAGAUGUUGAAUGCACCCAUCCUUAAGUAGGUGAUCUUUUCAUCUGUUCUCCUGUCCUUCACCAGUUCAAGAGUGGCCCGAGCAAUGGAAACUUUGAUUGGCUGAUAUCUUCCUCUUUCGACUUCUAACACAUCUGCCAGCAUAUUCAUAUCCACAACAUAAUCUUGGUCUUUAACGCUGAACGAGAAUCUAUUCGCAUCCAAAAAGCUUAGAUUUGAAUAGAAAUAUACAGUUAAUUCAACAUAGGCCUCUGUAGAGUCAGAGCAGAACUUUUCAAGUUGAAGAUAACUGAACUUUUCCCUCAAGUUCAUAUUCACAGCAUCCAGAAAAUCGAAAUCUACACUCCUAGGGUUUAUCACCCCACGCUUCAGCAAUUUCGAGUAUAGAUCCUUUUGCUCCUUUGAUCUGAACAAAUCUCCCAUUUUUCCUUGGUUAUCAACCGCAACACCCAUUUUCGGUUGGAAUUGACUGUACAAUUUAUCAUCAUCAUUCCCAUCUACAGGAUUCGGCCCCCAGUCACGAGGAUCACUUGGGAUAUUUGCAAGGGUUUCCUCAGCCACCCCUUUUCGAGCAAUUCCCAAACUUUCCAUUUUUUUCAGAAAGAUAUAUUCGUUCCCAUGUCCUUUGUCUUUAAGAAAAUCAUCAAUGUAGUUCAAAGGAGUACGAAUUCCUUUUAGGGCACGAUAUAACUGAUAAAUAUAAGCGGGCUUUUGAACUCUUACAGGGUCUGCAUCCUCGAUGAUUUCUUCCUGUUGUUGAUGAUCAACGCCUUGAGGACUAGAUGGAGGAGAAUGACUCUGUUGAGAAUGUUGUGGGCUCGCUUGCUGAUCUGGAGUCACUUCAUCUUCAGUAAGAUCGAAGUGCGUAGGCCCCUCACUCAUCCGCCGUGGUCCCCUGCUUGCAAUUCUUGAAGACUUUCUUGAAGAUGACAUCUUUCUCAGUUUUUGAAAGAUUCCUUGCUUGACUUUCCCAGGAAAGAUGACAACUUUUUGAGGAUUAAAAGAAGAAGACAAACGGGAAUGGAGGAUCGAUGCUUUCUAGGGUUUUUGAGAGAAAAGUGAAGAGGAAUCAACAGUUCAAGAUCGGUUAAGAGGGAUAAACGAACCGUCAUAAAGGAAAUAAAAAUAUGCCUUUUCAAAAUAACUGUCUUUUUCCGCAAAAAUAGCCAUUUCAAAAAUAACUUCCCUUUUGAAAAUGAAACGAUGCAAUAUUUUCGUCAAUUAAAUAUAGCAACAAUUUAAACACAGUCUGACAAUCGUACCUUUUCAAUUUGAGAUUCAAGAGAGAAAGACUUACAGUCUGACGGACGUACCAAGACUGUCUUUCAGAUAAAGUCUUGUAAGUCUGAGUCUGAAAGUCUUUAGACUUUGAUAUCCUCAUACCUCAAAAUGUUGAGUCUGGAGCGUAUAGACUCAAAUUGAUUUUUCUCCAAAGGCUUUGUGAAUAUAUCCGCCAGUUGAUUCUUUGAGUCAACAAAUUGAAUUGAAACAUCUCCAUUUUGAACAUGAUCUCUUAUAAAGUGAUGUCGAAUCUCUAUAUGCUUUGCUCUUGAGUGGAGAAUUGGAUUUUUGGUGAGGUUGAUAGCGCUGGUGUUGUCGCAAUUAAUCUCCGUGCAUGAGUCUUCAAUUUCAAAGUCUCUUAGCUGUUGUUUUAUCCAUAGAAUUUGCGAACAGCAGCUUCCCAGAGCUACAUACUCUGCUUCUGUUGUUGAAAGAGACACAGUGCUUUGUUUCCUUGAAAACCAAGACACUGUCCUGCUUCCAAGCAACUGGCAAGUUCCCGAAGUGCUCUUUCUAUCAACUCUGCAACCGGCCAGAUCUGCGUCUGAAUAUCCCAGAAGAUUAAAGUCUCCCUUCUUAGGAUACCAAAGACCGAUGCUUGAUGAUGAAGCAACAUAUUUAAUGAUGCGUUUCGCAGCACUGAGAUGGGAUUCUCUAGGAUCUGAUUGAAACCUAGCACAGAUGCAAACACUCAACAAGAUGUCAGGUCUAGAAGCAGUAAGAUAAAGGAGUGAACCAAUGAUGCUCCUGUACAGCUUUUGAUCAACUUUCUUCCCUUCUUCAUCUUUGUCUAUCUUCAAAGAUCCAUUUAGGAAGGCACUUUGACGUCCAUUUGGAAUAACUGAAAUUCUUAUAACAAGCAAACGCAAGUAUAGUCGAAUAGCUUCUAACCUUGCUACUGGAGCGUAAGUCUCAUCAUAGUCUAUUCCUUCUUCUUGUGUAUAUCCCUUGGCCACGAGUCUUGCUUUGUUUCGUACGACUUUUCCUUUUUCAUUCAUCUUGUUUCUGAACACCCAUUUAGCUCCAAUAACAGUUUUACCUUUUGGUUUGGAUGUCAAUUCCCAGACAUCAUUAAUGCUAAACUGUCUGAGCUCUUCUUGCAUAGCUUCAAUCCAGCUUUCAUCAGAUAAAGCUUCUUCUAUGCUUUUUGGUUCAAUUUCAGAAACGAGAGCCACAGCACUAGACUCUUCUCGCCUUUUGGAUCUGGUGCGAAUUCCUUCAUUCAUUUCGCCGAUUAUAAGAUCUUUGGGAUGACUGGACUUAUGCUUCCAGUUACUCGUUGAUCUGUCUGGUUGAUGAUCUCUUUCUUUGUUUGGAUCUUCACGAACAUCUUGAAGCUGGUUUUCCAGAGUCUGAGAUGCUUCUUGAGAUGUAAGCUUUGGAAGAUCUGAAGCAGGGUCAGACUCUCCUUGAUGAGUCUGACUUGAUUCAUCUUGCGUUGAAUCUUGGAAUUUGACAUUCAUUGACUCCUCCAUAGACUGGCUCUUCUUGUUAUAGACUCUGAAGGCUUUGCUUGAUGUAGAAUAUCCAAGGAAGAUACCUUCAUCUGAUCUUUCUUCAAACUUACCAACUCGAUCUUUUGCAUUUUUCAAUAUAAAACAUUUGCAACCGAAUACAUGAAAGUAUGAAACAAUAGGCUUCUUAUCUUUGAACAAUUCGUAAGGGGUUUUCUCUAGAAUAGGUCUUAAGAAGACUCUAUUGAUGAUAUAACAUGCUGUUGAAACAGCUUCAGCCCAAAAUCGUGAAGAAAUCUUGCUUUCAAUUAAAAGAGUUCUAGCCAUUUCUUGAAGAGAUCUGUUCUUUCUUUCCACAACUCCAUUUUGCUGAGGAGUAUAUGGAGAGGAGAACACAUGAUUAAAGCCAAAUUCAUCACAAAAUUUUGUAAAAUCUUGAUUUUCAAAUUCACCUCCAUGAUCUGUUCUUAUACUUGAGAUAACACAUCAUUUUUUUCAUUUUGAACCUUUUUAGCAAACUUUUCAAAAUACAAGAAGGUUUCAGACUUACUUGCAAGGAAAUAUACCCAAGUAAAACGGGAGUAAUCGUCCACAAUUACUAGGCAAUAUUUCUUACCUCCAAUACUCUGUGUUUUGGUUGGUCCGAAGAGAUCCAUAUGCAGCAACUGUAGUACAUGAUUAGUAGAGACAUGAUUUAUUGGCUUGAAUGAAUUUCUUACCUGCUUUCCCAGAAUACAUGGAGUGCAUGGAUCAGUCUUUUGAUAAGGUAAUUUGGGUAGUCCUCGAACAAGCUGCUUUGAUGAGAUUUUGGCUAAUUGCUUCAUGUUAACAUGACCAAGCUUUCUGUGCCAUAAGCUUGCUUCGUCUUGAAUUGAGAUAAAACAUUGCGAUUCAUUUGGUUUCACAUCCAGAAGAUAAAUGUUUCCAUGUCUACGACCCAUGAAAGACUGAGUAGAGUCUUUACUGAUUCCAGAACAUAUUCCUUCUUGAAAAAAGAUCUUGAAACCAGUAUCACACAAUUGACUAAUGCUGAGAAGAUUGUAAUUGAGUCCUUCCACUAAGGAAACAUUACUUAUUGUGAGAUUUCCAAUUUUCACAGUUCCAAAUCCCACAAUACUCCCUUUGCUGUUUCCUCCAAAUGAAACUUUUCCACCAUUUACUUUAGCAAUCUUUAUAAAACAAUUUGAGUCUCCUGUCAUGUGUCUUGAGCAUCCACUGUCAAGAUACCACUUUACCUUUUUCUUGAUGGUGACCUGCAUUUAAAAAAGAGUCUCAAGCUUUCUUUGGUACCCAAACUUUCUUGGGUCCUUUUGUGUUAGUAACAUAAGCAGUAUUAGCCCAUAUUCUCUUAACAGGUUUCCAAACCAUAGGACACUCUUUUUCAAAGUGAUCCGGACUGUUGCAUUUUGAACAUUUUAGAGCAUUUCUUCCUACGGAUUUUACAAAAACUUUCUUGAAGUGAUUUUUGUAAACCUCUCUCGAGAGUCUUUUCUUAAUUCUUUCUUUUACUUUAGGAAAAUCAAUCAGGGGAAUUGUUUCUUCUAACAUUCCUAGACCGGACUUAUUGAAGUAAGGUCUUUGUGCUGAAAGAAUUUUCUCAAGUUUUUCAGACCCUAUUGAAAAUUUCUUUGAUAUAUUUGAUAAGUCUGUUUUUAAAAAGACAUUUUCUUUUGAAAGAUUAUCUCCAUUUUCUUUAAGAUUGGAAAUAGUCAAGUCUAGACUUUUAACUCUUUCUACUAAAACAUUUUCCUUUUGUUUUAGAGCUGAGUUUUCCUUUUUCAGUUCGGAAAUUCUUUUGAGAGAAGUCUUAAGACUAAAACAUAAUUCAUCAAUAUAUUUAGAAACUUUGACAGGAAUUUUAAUAUCACUUGCCUCAAAUUCACUGUCUGAGUCUGAUCCAGAGUCUGAGUCUGAUUGUGCCAUCAGACAUAGAUAGCAUAUUCAUUAUCACUUUCUUCACACUCUGUGUCACUCCAUGUUUCGGCUUUGAGAGCUUUUCGAAAUCUUUCAGCUUUUCCUUUCUUCUUCUUCAGAAGAGGACAGUUGGGUCUGAUGUGUCCCUUUUUCUUACAUUCAAAGCAGACUAUGUCUUUGUUUGGUUCCUCAUCAUCAACAGACUUGGUCUACUGUCUUUGAAAGCUUUGUUUCUUUGAGUUGAACCUUCUUCCUUUUCUAUUCAGUUUUCUUAAUCUUCUUAUCAUGAGAGCAAGCUCCUCAUCGUCCAUAUCUUCUUCAGAAUCUGUAUCAUCAGAAUCAUCAUUUGAUUUUAAUGCAAUGGAUUUCUUACCUUUUGGAUCUUCAUCUUCAUUGAUCCGUUCCACUUCAUAAGACUGAAGAGUUCCAAUUAGCUCGUCGACAGAUAGUGGCAUAAUUCUUUGCGUCUCUCUUAUCAAAGUCUUUAUGUGAUUCCAAUCCCUGGAGAGUCCACGCAGUAGCUUGUUUACCUUCAUGGGAUCAGAAGUUGGUUGACCUUGAUUUUCAAGACCAUUCACAAUAUCUGUAAAACGACUAAACAUGUCAGAUAUAGAUUCUCCUGGUUUCAUUCUGAAGGCUUCGUAUUGACCGAGAAGAAUGUUGAUUCUAGUUUCCUUCACUCGAUCUGUUCCUUCAUAGGUGAUAUGCAAUGUGUCCCAAACUUCUUUUGCUGUACCACAAGAAGAUAUUCUAUUAUAUUCAGUUGGUGAUAAAGCACAAUAUAAGGAGUAAAUUGCUUUUGCAUCGAGUGUUUGUCUUUUGAUUAUUUCUUCCUGAGACAUUCUGCCGGUUUCAUCAGUUUCUUUUCCUCUUUCAGAGACUAAUGCGGUGGUAGGAGUAAUUCCUUUUUCUACAACGUCCCAUUCCAGAGGAUCCUUUGAUCGAAGGAAAGCUUUCAUCUUGUUCUUCCAGAUGUUGUAAUCCUUUCCAUCAAAGUAGGGUGGUCUGGUAUUGUUUUGCCCUUCCAUCAGCCCUGGUGCUAGCAUACUAGCCAUGGAUCUUUUACUACGAAGUAAAACACUUCAAAUAAAGUAAGUACACAGGCUCUGAUACCAAUUGAUAUUGCUAGUAUGAGUACCUAGAGGGGGGUGAAUAGGUAUAUAAAGAAUUUUUCUCAAUCAAUUGCACAAUACUAGACAGUUGGAUGAAACGAUAAUCAAAGUAAGACUGAGAGAAGAGAAAAUUGAACACGCGGUUUAUAGUGGUUCGGCUUAUAUCAAGCCUACGUCCACUCUUCUUCACUGACAGCCUAUUGGCUGGAUUCCACUAUGAACAAGAGAGAGGUUACAGCACAGCUUUGCCUUGAUUCCACAGUGUAGAUGUUCUACCACACCUCCUCAAGAUUUCUCACAAAUAUAUACUCUCUCUUUCGUAUACAAGUAUUCGCUCAAAGGAUUUGUCUAAACAAAAAGGAGCUUCAGACUUUGGAAUUCUUCUAUCGCGUACCCCUUGAACAACUAAGACAGUCUUCCUUAUAUACUCCUUUAUGCCAUCAUACCCGUUGGCACUUACCAAAGGAAUUCCUCCAAUCUACCCGUUGGACGGAAUCAAUUAGGAAGAUUGUCCAAGCUAUAAAUGGAACGUGUUGAUAGCCCAUCAAUCAUGUUCGCCCAUACAAUCAGGAUCUCGGUUUCCAUAAGCAGAACCUUCCAAUAAUAUUUAGGCAAUCACGGGAUCUUCAAUUAUCGAAUCAAUCUUCGAUCAAUCAAAGGACUCUGUUUAUGUCUUCUCCAGCCAUGAGGUCUUCUCCAGUUGAUAAGGUUAAAUCCUCAACGAAACAUCCAGUUCUGGAUAACCUUUCUUCAACGGAUUAGAGACUGUCAAUGAGGAUAGACUUUGAGUCUUGAGUCUGGCUGUCCCAAGGUCUUCAGACUUUAAAUAGCAGAGUCUGCAAGCCUUCAGACUAGACUGAUAGAAACGAUUUGUCAACUUCAAAACACUUCAAGAAGAUUUCUCCAACAUGCAUGACCUUAGGCGACCCUCAGGAAGAGUCGUACGACCUAGGCAGCCAUCUAGGUCGCAAGAGACCCAGAUGAGGGCCGCUUGAGGUGGCGAGACCCAAGUGUUUUCUCUGCUACAUCUCCUUUUGCCUGCUUUGUUCCCACGAGGAAAUUAAAGAAACAUCAUCUCCAUUUGGUCAGUCUAUAAUAAGCAAGGUACGAAAGACUCCAUCAAAGAAAACAAUCAAGUUGUAGUGGACUGAUAACGAGUAGGGUUUUACAGUAUUACCGAGUCCUGAACAUCAGCUGCAGCGACUUGGAGGAGAAGAAGAGAGGCAACGAUGAGCGAGGAAGCAAUCACAAGCUUGGAGCUAGCCAUGGACGAAGGUGGCUCGAGGUGGAGAUGAUUAUAUAUUCAGUGUAUUUUAUACAAUAUGGUAUUGGUACAUGAAACAAGAGAAAGGGUCGGUCGUAUUUAUAGGGCGAGAUAGAGUUCGAGAGAGUGAAUUCAAGACGAGAGAGUGAAUUCGAGAGGUAGUUGGUGCAUUGCAAAGGCUGGCUAGAGUGGGAUAUGAAUUUUGUUAAUCCAAAAAUGAGAAAAAAGCAAAAGAGAGAGAGAAAAAAAAAAAGAGCGUGGCUUGCCUGUUGAUGAUUCUCUACUCGUAUGUUAUGGUCCUAAAAAGAUUAAAAGAAAAUAAAAGGUGUGUGAAGCCCAGAAAAGGGAAGGAAAGUGGUGGUCGCCGGUCGGGAAUAUUUGGUAGGAAUAUAAGGCUUUAAAAUCAGUGGAAGUUGUACUUGAAAGGGCUAAUACCAACAUCUAGAGAGGGGUGAAUAGGUGUUAAAAGAGAUUUUUGCGGAAACGUUUAUAAAUACUUUUUCUUUCGGACUAGAAUCUACUAAACAAUGAACCAAAGCAAGUUCAGCAAAUAAUUAAAUUUACAAAUGAAUAAAGGAGUUUAGGGAAGAGAAUAAAAACACAAAGUUUAUGGUUGUUCGGCUUAGGUCAAGCCUACGUCCACUCUCCCGUACUGACAGCCUACUGGCUGGAUUUCAUUAAGAAUCAAAAGAGAUUUUACAAUCUCAUGUCAUUGACUUUACAGUGUAGAAACUUUACUACAUUCUACCAAAGUCUCACAAGUGUUUGCUCUUUCUUUUGAGUAUAAGUUAAGCUUGACAAAUGAAAUAGCAAAUAACUAGGAAAUUUCAAACUUUCAAUUUUUUUUUCACGCACACACUCAAACAAAUGGAAAGUCCGCCUUAAAUACUCCUUCAUGCCUUCACGACUAUUGGCACUUUCUAAAGGAAUUCCUCCAAUCUACCCGUUGGAUAGAAUCAAUCAAGGAGAUCUCGAGUUUGUUUUAGGAAUGUGACGAGAGCCCAUCAAUUAUGCUCGUCCAUACAAUUAGGAUCUUGGUUUUCAUAAGUAAAACAUUCCAAGUAUACUUCACCUUUCAAAAGAUUUUCAAAUCGAAGUAGAUUUCAAUAAGAAUAAUCAAUCAUGUAGACCCUAUGGCUAUAUCCAGCCAUAGGGUCUUCUAAAAAACCAUAUGAAUUGAAUCCUUGAAGAUAAUUCCGCAUCUGAGUAAAUCUUCAUUCUUCAAUCUAAAAACUGUCAAUGGGGGCAGAUUUGAGAUUAAAGUCUAACGGUCUUUAGACUUUGACGGUAAACUCUGGAGUUCUUCAGACUAUAGUACUUAAGUCUACAAGUCUUCAUACUAGACUUUUGGCAAUGUUUUGUCAGCUUCAAAACAAUUAAGGAGUUUUCUCUAACAAUCUUCUCAUUUUUGAUGGUGACAAAACUUUCCUACAGAUUUGAAAAUUUUGACCUACAAGACAACACUUAAGCAAGACGUGAUAUCUUAUAAAAUAAGUUGAUUAGGACAUGGAUAGCAUCGACUAUGCAACCACAAAAAACAUGUUAAUCCUGCAAGAUAAAUAACUAUCUAGCCACAAUCAAUAUCACAGACUUAGUUACUGCAAGUGUCAAAAGAUUCAAAAUCAAAUAGCAAUCAAAAGUCCAAAGUAUACCAAUUCAAAGUCAGUCCAAAAUGUCAUCAAAAUCAAACCAAUAAAGCAAAAAGAUAAAGAUAAAGUCAAGUCAAAUCUAUAAACUCUCCCCCUUUUUGUCAUCAGCAAAAAGUGGAUAAAACUUUAAAAAGAGGGAUAAAAUCAUGGCUGUUUCGGGAUGUGAACAAUCUGGAAGUCCCCCAUAGACUUGACAGUCUCCUCCAGCUCCUUCAGAGUCUCCUUCAGUUGUUGAAUAUCAUUACCCUUUGCAUUAUCUUGAACUUGAAACUUCAGGGCUUGAACUUGAUCGUGUGGAGAGACUGAAGUGGCCUGAUGUGCAGAUUUCAGAUUCUAAAUGUCACACUCUAACCUGUAUAGCUGAGCCUUUAACUCCACCAUAGGCUCGAGCAGACUUCGAAAGUCUGUUGAAGGUUCUGUUUGAGUACUAGUAUCAGUAUGGUCAGAUUGAGGAGUGCUAAUUGAUGAUGGAACCUCAGCUGGAACAUCCAGACUUGGAGAUGAUGCAUCAACAUCAAUUUCAGGGAAUUGAGAGGCAUAGACAUCCUUUGGAUCUGCUGGAGAUCUACUAACAUCACUAGUGAAAACAGACGAAGAAGUACCUCUUUUGUUAGUAGCUUCCCCUGAUUCUGUGUCUUAAGGUGGAAAAAAGAAUUCUUCUUCCUGUUCUUGCUCAGUUUCAACACUUGAGUGAUGUUUUUCUUUCCCUUUUCCAGUAGUUCCACUCCUUAUCUUCUCAGAGUCACUUGACAAGGAUACAACCAAGCUUAGUUCAAAAGAGUCAUCUUGACUCUCUUCUUCUUCUUCUUCUUCUCCUCUUCCUUCUUCUCCUUCCUCUAUUCUUCUCUCUUCUCUGUCUUUUUUCUUUCUCUUGUCUCUCUAUCCUCUAUCUCCUGAAAGAUAACAAAACUCUGUAAAUUUCGUAAGGCAAAGGUGGUGAGAGUGAUGUCAUCCUCAUCUUCUUCAUCCUACAAGAUGAGUGUUCUCAUUUUCUUCAUAGGUUCGUUCAUUGGUUCCUUGCCUUUUAUUUUUGUUGCGGUAGAGUCUUGCUUUGCCUUGAUAUGGGACUUUUCUUUCAUGCUCUCCAAAACUUUGUUGAGCUCCUUUAGAUGCAUCUUUGUAACCAUUUUUAGUUCAAUCACAAUUGGAGCAAUGCUUCUAAUACACAGAGAAGUGGGAAUGUGAAUAUUGAAGUGUCUGAAGAGUCGAGUGAUAAGAGCAGAAUAAGGGAGUUGUCCCUUGUCCUUCACCACCGUUCUGUACAUGUGCAUGAGGAUAGUAUGAGGCAGAUAGAACUUGUAACCAAUGUUGAUGGCAUGCAUCACCUUUGCUUUCGAGUGAGAUACAUUAGUCUUUGACGUUGAUUUGGGCCUGAUGUAGUUGAUCACAAUCUUGUGAAGUAAGAUAUUGGAGGCAUUCAUCCUAUUGUAGGAAAUCUUGCCCUCCGCAAAUCUGUCCCUAACAAGUUCCAGUGUAGCGUGAGCAAUUGACACACUAAUUGGUUGGAAACACCCUCUUUCCACCCCAAUCAAGACCACAAAUUCCUUAUCCCUUACCGUAAAGGAAAAUCUAUUCGCAUCCAAAAAGGAUAGAUUUGAAUAGAAAUAGGCUAUGAGUUAUGGGUAGGCAAAUGUCGUCUCAGAGUAAAAACGUUUGAGUUAAAGGAGUGCAAACUUCUCCCUCAAAUUCACUUUCACAAAAUCAAGAAAAUCAAAAUCAACACUUCUAGGGUUCAUAACCCCUUGCUUCAACAAUUUUGAGUAGGUCUUCAUAUGGUCUUUGGAAUGGAAAACACUCGCUCCCUCUCCACGAACAUUUGUAGCCACUUCCAUCCUAGGCUAAAAAUGUGUGAACAUUCUUUCAUCAUCGUCUUGUCUUUCAGGUUGAUUAAACAUACCCAUUCGUGGAUCACUUGGAAAGUUGGCAAAUGUCCUUGCUGUCAACCCUUCAAGUGCUAUGCCCAUUCUUUCCAUGGAUUGCAAGAACAAAGUUUCGUUCUUGUAACCCCUCUCUCUCAAGAAUUCAUUGAUGAAGGUCAUAGCAAUGCCACCCUCUUUUAACUUUUUGUAAAGUUUAAAAGUAAAUUUAGGUUUCAACGUUCUUACCAGUUCCACAUCUUCCAAAAUUUCUUCUUCGACCAGUUGUUGCUGUGGAGGAACUUGUGUCCUAGUUUGAGAAGAUUGACAUGGUUGAGAAUGUUGUUGUUGACUUUGCUACUGUUGUUGAGGAAAGUCUUCUUCCUUAGUUAGAUCGAAGUGCGUAGGACCCUCAUGCAUAUGCUGUGUCCCCUGCUCGCGAUUCUAGAAGACUUUCUUGGGGAAGACAUUGUCACUUUCUUUGGAGGAUUUCUUAAACUCGCUCGAAGAAAAAAAAGAUGAAAACUUUUUGGAUUAAACUAGAGAGAAAGUGUGAGAAAGUGGAGUUUCGUAUUUUAGGAUUUGUGAAUGAAAGCGGAGAAACCACUGGGAUUCACCCCAGUGGCCACCCCUUCUAACAUGGAAGGGGGAGGUGAGGGGUUCAAAUCCCCACCUUCUCAAGGGGGGAUGGGGUGGGGACGAGUAAGUUUCAGGAGUGGGUUUCGACUCUCACGCCCUGCAAGAGGCAGGGCAAAAGUCUGAGGGUGAGUGUAGAGUAGGCAUAGAGUGGGAAUGACCAAAAAAAAAAAUGAAAGCAGAGAAGAAGAAAAUCAACAAUAUGUAAAGCAAAUGAAACGGUGUAUACGGAUCGUCAUAAAGGAAAAAGUAAAAACUACCUUUUUGAAAAUGAAAAACUGCCAUAAAUUCAAAAAUGAAAGAGAUAAUUACUAAAAAUAAAAUAAGAAAGUAGCGAUUCAAAAAGUAAUCGUACCUUUUCAAAUUUUCAUCCAAAAAAUUAAAUUACUUGCACAAAAAUAACUUACAGUCGCAACUUUUAGAAGUUCUAAGUUUGAUCAUCUUUAGACUUUACCCGAUUGAAGAUAUGAUGUUCAGUCUAGCGCGAAUAGACUCAAAUAAGCUUUUUUCCAGUAGCUUUGUAAAUAUGUCUAUUAACUGAUUCUUUGAGUCAAUGAAUUGAAUCAUAACUUCUCAAUUCUAAACACGAUUUCUAAUGAAAUGAUGUCGAAUUUCUAUGUGCUUUGCUCUUGAAUGAAGAAUUAGAUUCUUUGUGAGAUUAAUGGCGCUGGUAUUGUCACAUUUGAUCUCGGUGCACGAUUCUUCAAUUCAAAAUCUCUUAACUGUUGCUUUAUCUAUAAGAUUUGAGAACAACAGCUUCCAAGAGCUACGUACUCUACUUCUACUGUUGAAAGAGCUACAGUACUUUACUUCCUCGAGAACCAAGACACCAGUUUGUUACUCAACAAUUGGCAAGUACCAUAAGUGUUCUUUCUAUCAACUUUGCACCCAUGCUAAAUCUAUGUCUGAAUAUCCAAGGAGAGUAAAGUAUCAUUUUUUGGGAUACCACCGACCUAGUUUUGAAGUAGUUGCAACGUAUUUGAUGAUGUGUUUUACAGCACUUAGAUGAGAUUCUUUGGGAUUUGAUUGGAAUCUAACACAAAUGCAAACACUAAACAAAAUGUCAGGUCUAAAUGCAGUAAGGUAAAAAAGUGAAUCAAUAAUACUCCUGCAAAGCUUUUGGUCUACACUCUUUCCUCCUUCAUCUUUAUCCGGCUUCGAAGAACUUGACAUUGGUACCUCAGUCUUUUUGCAAUUCUCCAAUCCGAACUUCUUGAUGAGGUCUUUUUUUGCAUUUUUUUUUUUUUUAUGAAUGAAGAUUCAUUUCUUUGAUUGUUUGACUUGUAAUCCGAGAAAGAAAGUUAAUUUACCUAUCAUGCUCAUCUCGAAUUCAUCCUGCAUAGACUUAAAAAACUUAUUGUACAAAUUUUCAUUAGGUGAUCCAAAGAUAAUAUCAUCAACGUAAAUUUGAAUAAGUAGAAAAUCUUAACCUUUUCUUUUAAUGAAUAAAGUAGUAUCUACUUUUCAUUUAACAAAACCAUUUUGAAUUAAAAAAUUUACUUAACCUAUCAUACCAAGCUUGAGGUGCCUGCUUCAAUCCAUAUAGGGCUUUCUUCAAUCUGUAGACUAAGUCUGGCUUUCUUGAUUCUUCAAAACCAGGUGAUUGUUCUACAUAAACUUCCUCUUAGAUGAAUCCAUUACGGAAUGCACUUUUUACAUCCAUUUGGAAUAACCUGAAAUUUUUAUAGCAAACAAAAGCAAGUAAUAAUUUAAUUGCUUCUAAUCUUGCUACUGGUGCAUAGGUCUCAUCAUAGUCUAUUCCUUCUUCUUACGUAUAUCAUUUGGCCAUGAGUCUUGCUUUGUUUCUGACCACUUUUUCUUUCCCGUCCACCUUGUUCCUGAAAACCCGUUUAGUUCCAAUAAUAGAUUUACUUUUAGGUUUAAGAAUUAGUUCCUAAAUGUUGUUGAUGCUAAACUGUCUAAGCUUUUCUUUCAUAGCUUUAAUCUAGCUCUCAUCAGUUAAGGCUUCUUCUACACUUUUGGGUUCAAUUUCAGAAACAAGUGCUAAAACACUAGACUCUUCUCAUCUUUUGGAUUUGGUACGAAUUCCUUCAUCAAUGUUGCCAAUGAUGAGCUCUUUGGGAUAACUUAACUUAUGUUUCCAGUUGCUGGUUUAUUUGAAAGUUUGAUGAUCUUCUGCUUCAAUUGAAUCUUCUAAUUUAUCUUGUUGUAUAUCUUCAAAAGUCUGAAUCACUUCGGGGGAAGUAGACUUUACAAGAUCUGAAGCACGUUCAGAUUCUUCAAGUUGAGUCUGAUUCAGUUGAUUCUGUACAAAGUCUUGAAAUUUGACGUUCAUAGAUUCUUCCACAUACUGAAUCUUCUUGUUGAAUAUUCUACAGGCUUUGCUUGAGGUUGAGUGGCCAAGAAAAAUUCAUUCAUCUGAUCUUUCCUUAAACUUACUAGUUCGGUCAUUUGCAUUUUUCAAAACAAAUCACUUAUAACCAAACACAUGAAAAUAAGAAACAUUUGGUUUUUUCCCUUUGAAUACUUCAUAAGGAGUUUUCUCUAGAAUAUGUCUUAAAAAUACUCUGUUAAUAAUAUAACAAGCUGUAAAAACUGCUUCAGCCCAAAAUCGAGAAGAAAUAUUACUUUCAAUUAAAAUGGUUAUUGCCAUCUCUUGCAAAGAUCUAUUCUUUCUUUCCACAACCCCAUUCUGUUCUAGAGUAUAUGGAGAAGAGAAAACAUGCUGAAAACCAGAUUCAUCACAAAAUUUAGUAAAGUCUUGAUUCUCGAACUCACCUCCAUGAUCUGUGCGUAUGCUUGAAAUAGCAUAACAUUUUUCAUUCUGAAUCUUCUUGGCAAAUUUUGAAAAGUAAGAGAAUGUUUCAGACUUACUUGCUAGAAAGUAUAUCCAUGUAAAGAGAGUGUAAUCAUCUACGAUUACUAGGCAAUAUCUCUUUCCACCAAUACUUUAAGUUCUGGUUGGUCCAAAGAAAUCCAUAUGUAGAAGCUGCAAAACUCGAUUAGUAGAAACUUGUUUUAUAGGUUUAAAAGAACUUCUAACAUGUUUUCCCAAUACACAUUGUGUGCAUAAUUCAGACUUUUGAUAAGUCAGGUUGGGUAGUCCACGAACAAGCUUCUUGGAGGAGAUCUUGGCAAUCUGCUUCAUGUUAACAUGGCCAAGCUUUCUAUGCCAAAGGUUUGCUUCAUCUUGAAUUGAUAUUAAAUACUAAGAGCUUUCUGGUUUUAUAUCCAGAAGAUAAAUAUUCUCAUGUCUUCAUCCAGUGAAAAAUUGAGAGAUCUUUACUAGUUCCCGAACAAAUACCUUCUUAGAAAUUAAUUUUGAAUCUAGUACCGCACAGUUGACUAAUGCUGAGAAGAUUGUAAUUCAAACCUUCUACCAAUGAAACAUUGUUGAUUGUGAGACUUUCAAUUUUCACAGUUUCACAUUCAACAAUUCUUCCUUUAAUGUUUCCACCAAAAGAAACUUUUCCACCAUUUAUUUGCACAAGUUUUAUGAAACAACUUGAAUCUCUUGUAAUGUGUCUUGAAUAGAUACUAUCCAAAUACCAUUUGAUCUUCUUUUUUAUAGUGACUUGCAAUUAUAAAAAGAACUCAAGCUUUCUUUGGUACCCAUAUUUUCUUGGGUCUAUAGGAGUUAGUAUUAAAAACAGUUUUUGCCCAAUCCCUCUUAACAGGUCCCCAAACCUUGGGACAUUCAUUCUUAAAAUAUUCUAAGUUGUUACACUUUGAACAUUUGAGAACACUUCGACCAACGGGUUUUGUAAAAACUCUUUAAAAAUAUUUUUUUGUAAAACGCUUUUAUAGGUUUUUGUUUGAUUAUUCCCUUUACUUUUGGAAAAUCAAUUAGAGGAAUGGUUUCUAGAGUCAUACCCAAACUUGAUUGGUUAAAAUAAGGUCUUUGUAUAGAAAGAAUCUUUUCCAACUUCUCAGAUCCUUUUGAAAACCUUUUUGUGAUGUUUAAAAUGUCCUAUUUCAAAAAGGCAUUUUCCUUCGAAAGAGAAUAUGCAUUUUCUUUCAAAUUAAUAAAACUUUUGUCUAGAUUUUCGAACUUCUUUUUUCAAAUAGUUUCAUGUUGCUUCAAUUUAGAAUUCUCCAUCUUUAGCUUGGAAAUUCUUUUAAGAGAUGUUUUGAGAUUAAGACAGAGUUCAUCUAUAUAUUUUGAGACUUUAACAUGAAUUUUUAAGUUACUAACCUUGAUUUUUUUGUCUAAGUCUAAGUCUGAAUCUGUUUCAGAAUCUGAAUCUGAUUCUGAAUUUGCCAUUAAACAUAUGUUGGCAUAUUCUUCAUCACUUUAUUCGCAUUCAGUAUCGCUCCAUGUCUUUACUUUGAGAGCCUUUUUGUAUUUUUCAGUUCUUCCUUUCUUUUUCUUCAACAGAUGACAGUUAGGUCUGAUAUGCUCUUUUUUCUUGCAUUCAAAACAGAUCACAUCUUUGUUGAUUUCAUCAUUCUCAGUUGAUUUGUUUUGAAAUUUUUGAGUGCCUUACUUCUUCCAAUUGAAUCUUCUUCCCUUUCUAUUUAACUUUCUAAAUUUCCUUAUCAUGAGUGCUAGUUCUUCAUCGUCCAUAUUAUCUUUCGAAUUUGUAUUAUCAGAAUCAUCAUUAGAUUUUAAAGCAAUUGACUUCUUACCUUUAAGAUCUUCUUCCUCAUUGAUUUGCUCCACUUCGUAAGAUUGAAAUGUGCCAACCAAUUCAUCUAUUGAAAGAGGCAUGAUCCUUUGAGUUUCUCUUAUUAAUGUCUUCACGUGAUUCCAGUCUUUGGAGAGUCCACGCAGCAAUUUAUUGACCUUUAUUGGUCCUAAGAUUGGCUAUCCUUAAUAUGCUAGACCGUUUACUAUUUCUGUAAAACGACUGAACAUGUUAGUGAUGAAUUCUCCUUGCUUCAUCUUAAAGGCUUCAUACUGUCCAAGUAGGAUGUUAAUUUUUGUUUCUUUAACUCAAUCAGUUUCUUCAUAGGUGACAUGCAACCUAUCCCAAACUUCUUUUGUUGUUUCACAAGAUGAAAUUCUGUUAUACUCAGUAAGAGAUAAAGCACAAUAUAAGGAAUAGAUAACUUUAGUAUCAAGAGCUUGUCUCUUGGUUAAUUCUUCUUGUAUCAUGUCGCCAUCAUCUGCAACUUCUUUUCCUCUUUCUGAGGUUGAUGUAACUUUUGGAAUAAUCCAUUUUUCUACUACAUCCCAUUCCAAGGGAUCUUUCGAUCUUAGGAAUGCCUUCAUCUUGUUCUUCCACACAUUGUAUUCCUUCCAUCAAAGUAAGGAGGUCUGGUGUUGCUUUGGCCUUCAACCAAACCUGGAGCCAAAAUACUACCCAUAGAUCUUUAACUCAGAAGUGAAAACACUUCAAUAAAAUGAGCACACAAGCUCUAAUAUCAAUUGAACGGGCUAGUACCAACACCUAGAUGGGGUGAAUAGGUGUUAAAAUAGAUUUUUGCAGAAACGUUUAUAAAUACUUUUUCUUUCGGACUAGAAUCUACUAAGUAAUGAACCAAAGCAAGUUCAGCAAAUAAAUAAAUUUACAAAUGAAUAAAGGAGUUCAGGGAAGAGAAUAAGAACACAAAGUUUAUAGUGGUUAUGCUUAGGUCAAGCCUACAUCCACUCUCCCACACUGACAGCCUACUGGCUGGAUUUCACUAAGAAUCAAAAGAGAUUUUACAGUUUCACGUCCUUGACUUUACAGUGUAGAAACUCUACUACACUCUACCAAAGUCUCACAAGUGUUUGUUUUCUCUUUUGAAUACAAGUUAAGCUCGACAAAUGAAAUAGCAAAGAACUAGGAAGCUUCAGACUUUGAAAUUUUUCUUUCACGCACACACUCAAACAACUGGAGAGCCUGCCUUAAAUACUCCUUCAUGCCUUCACGACCGUUAGCACUUUCCAAAGGAAUUCCUUCAAUCUACCCGUUGGACAGAAUCAAUCAAUGAGAUCUUGAGUUUGUUUUAGAAAUGUGAUGAGAGUCCAUCAAUCCUGCUUGCCUAUACAAUCAAGAUAUUGGUUUCCAUAAGUAGAACAUUUCAAGUAUACGUACCUUCAAAAGAUUUUCAAAUCGGAGUAGAUUCCAAUAAGAAUAAUCAAUCAUAUAGAUGCUAUAUCCAGCCAUAGGGUCUUCCAAAAAACCAUACGAAUUGAAUUAUUGAAGAUAAUUUCGCAUCUGAGUAAAUCUUCAUUAUUUGGUUUGAAAACUGUUAGUAAGGGCAGACUUGAGAUUAAAGUCCAACGGUAUUCAGACUUUGACGGUAGAGUCUGGAGUUCUUCAAACUAUAGUACUUGAGUUUGCAAGUUUUCAUACUAGACUUUUGAAAAUAUUUUGUCAGCUUCAAAACAAUUAAGGAGAUUUCUCUAACAGUAUUGACCAUAUCAUUGUGCGAAUAGUACAAAAGAAUAUAAAAAGAAAUCUAAUUUAUAGAUUGGAUAAUAAAAUGAUCGGAUUAAUUUUGACAUUAUGCUUGAUUAUAAUCCACUUUAUAUUAAGCUAUAGUCUAUCACAUCACUUGAUAUAUUAAUUUUACACACUCUUCGUACUAUUCUUUUUUUUUUUUGAAUAGUCAUACUAUUCAAUAUUUUAUUCUCUUUUGGUAAAAUUACAAAAAAAAAAAAAAAAAAAGGUAAUAAACCUAUUGUGCAAUUGCCAAUUCAGUACUAACAUUUUCAAUUUUACCAAUUUAAUCAUAAGUUUUUAACUACCUAUUAAUGUGGUCUUUUUUUUUUUUUAUCAAUAUUGGCUGGAAAUGCUAACGUGGAUGCUGGUCAUCCUAUGUGAAACUGUUGAUGUUAAUGUGGAUAAAUUUUGAUUUUUAAAAAAAAAUUUCUGAAUUUUUUAGAUUCUUUAUUUUAUUUUUUCUUUAUUGCGACCGGCGAAGGUCGCGGACCCCGCGAACUACGAGUGAGGCGACUCUCACUAGGCAAGGUUGACCCUUUCUUGUGGAGAGUUGCUAGCUACCAUAUAAGACUAGCCACUGGCCAAAAGGUGAAAAGGAAAUUCAAAAAAUUUUAAAAGAUUGUCCAUGUUAGUACUAUUCACACCACAUAAGACGGCCGAUUCUAAUUGGACCACCUUGUCAAUAAUUUCUAAUCAAAAUUGGCUGGAAUGAUUGAUUUGAUUGUUAAAAGGUUUAUGAUUAAUUUGGCAUAAUUGAAAGAUUUAUGAUUGAAUGACCACGUCUAAUAGUUUUAGGACUCGUCGAACAAUUUUUCCAUUCUCUUUUAUCAGAGUUGAACCAAAGUUUCUUGGUUAUGUUAGUUCAUUAGAAAAUUCGUAGUGCACCUUUAGUGCAUAGUAUUGUAUAGUUAGGAUGUGAAUUCAAUCUCUUCUAUUAUGUCCCGUUCCAUUCAUUAGAUAUUGAUAUGUCACUUCAUUUUAGCCCUCAGUAUAUUGUUAGCUUGCAAUUGCCCUAGAUUUCUUUUAAGCACUCGGUAAUAUCUACAUAAAUUUUCGCAUAUUUCAAUGGGUCCACCUCAUUGAACAGUUUUAAGGGUGCACCACUUUGGUUAAGGACACGCCAUCACCACUUGACUAUCGGUUUGGACAAAUUCAAACUUUUAAAACCGUUAUUAGUAAUCCUGGUAAAUUUUACAUUGUAUUCGUGUACUUGAUAUGUACUAUAACUCCUCUUUAUGAUCAAUGUUAUCAUGAAACUUGUUAACUAAUUUGAACAAACUACCUAAAUUUCUCAAGGCCAUAUUUCCUCUAUCUUUAGCUGGAGUAAGUUUUCUCCAACCACGCCUUUGGCUAAUGGGUUGCGACACCUACUUUUAGUUUUAUAACUUAGGUUCGCAUGCAGAUGGCGUUCUUAACUUAUAAUCCAUUAUUCCCUCCAAUCAGAGAUGGAGGAAAAUAUAGCCUUUCGUCAAAUUAUCUCCUGUUGGCGCAUUCCGCGAUUAAGUGCUAAGCGGAAAAAUAGUCGAUAGUAACAGCUCAAAUUUUGCUCCUCUUGCUCUCCAAAACAUAAUGAUUUAUUAGGGUAGUUGCCAGAUUUCUAUUGAGUCUUCAUCCAUUGCCUCCCCUUUACACUUGUCAAAGGCUUCCUCUUUACUUUUUCUAUCAUAACCUUGCUCGACCAAAACGCAAGAUUCUCAAGGGACCCCUACGCUAACGGGCACAUAAACAAACUGUUGGCCCCCAAACCAUGAGUGGCAUGAGAAAACCAUUGGUCGCCGGGAGAUGAAUCAUUUGAGCAUAAUCGAAUAAAGUAUUGCCGCCUAAUCGAGCAGACAUCCGAUAUGUCCACAUUAGACUUUGAAGGUCUUGAUAAGGAUGAACCCGAUUAAUCGAUUUAAUUUGACCCACUCAUACAAUAUUGUUUAGGGCAAAUACUACAAAAUAAAUCUUGAAUCGUGACAUAAAUACCCCAAACUUAUUUUUGUGUCAUAGAAAACUCUAAGUUUGCCCAUUGUGACACAAAUACCCCUAAUUUUUUUUUUUUGUCAUGAAAGAAACCCAAAUGUAUACAUGUGUGACAUGUACAACUUCUAUCGGUUCCAUCCAGGAUAUAUUUGUUACAUUGGUAUAAGUUCAGGGAUUUUUAUGACCAAAAAAAAAGUUCGGGAUAUUUGUGUCACGGUGGAUAUAAUUUGAGGUUUUUUUUUGUGAUAUUAACCCUAUUGGUUAAUCAUAGCACAUGGAAAAUCUAUAAAUAUGUGCAGUGUACAAGCUUAAAGUAUCAAUCAAAUUUCUGGGGUUUUGAUGUUUCGCAGAAAAGCAGCUAUAUCUCCUAAGAAAGAUUAGAUGCAGAUUUUAAAAUCCAAUUUUGUUCAAUCUUUUCCGGCUUAUCUCUGCUACUUGUAUACAACUAUGCUUAAAAGAGAAUUGAAAAGGGAUUCUUGUUUAUCAACUUUGCUGGUGAAAUUUCACGCAAUUCCCUUUAAAGAACGUUCAAUUCUUGAAGAAAUUCAACUGAAGUCUAUUAUGAAACUGAAUACAUACGAUUAUUGUAAUUAGCAUUUUCAAGUACCCACAGUUUUUCGAUUAUGUCAUUUCUCUUCUAACCACCAACAAUUCCUUCCUUUUUCUUUACAGCAUGCGCGUAUGCUCCAAGUUUUUGUUUGAAUAUAUCUCGUUAGAAAGCAAAUUCAAAAGUAGUGUUGUUAAGUUUAAAUCGAUUUAAGGUAAAUCUGAUAAACAGGCGAUUUGGAAGAUACAUACAACAUUGUUCUCUAAUUCAAUCUCGAUCACGAAGUGAUUAACUUUUAAAAAAACAAGUUUUAAUCAAAGAUGGAAAAAAACCAUAAGAUUAAAAUAUAUAUUUAAGAAACCAUGUUCAAAAUAAACUCAAUUGAAAAAGUGUAUACGAAGAUACACUUUAUCCAUUUUAUUCAAAAUUUAAAUCGAAUAAGAGAUUAAAAUUUAGGUAUCACAAAUAAAAAAGCUAAUGGUUAUUGGUCGAACAUUUGCCAUGGGGCAAACUUAGGGCACGGGGCAAUCACUAAAGGCAAAUAAAAGGGCCAUGCAGCAAGUUUUUAAUCUUAAGUAUGACAAAUUCAAGUUUAACUAUAUAUAUGUUAGGAUAGAGUAGGUCGGAAGAUAUAUACAAAAUCAUAUCACAAUCUUAUAUUCAUGAAGAUAACAAACCUUCAACACUUGCAAAUUAUAAAUGCUUAUCCAAGCAACUUUUAUAUUUUCUGAUACACAUAUACUUAAUUUAUUUUUUAAUAUAUAUUACGAAUAUGUAUUUGGUGAGACUACCAACUCGCAAGUCAACUGGCUAAUGACACCACCGUCAUGCAUUGCAUGCAGGAUUUCGUCGUUCGCAUGAAAAUCAUAAAUAAUUUUUGGGGAAUCGGCUUACGAGUUCGGUUGACAUUUCUGUACUUUCUUGAAAAAUUUCACGGCCCACGUUCCUUCUAGGAUCGAUCAAAUUCAUACCCUCCACACAAGCAAAGAUUAAGACAGCUGAAUAAGAGUUGCAGGACCAGCUGUUUAUCUGGUCAACCACUGUCAUCAAAAGAAUCGCCAACCAGGGUAUGAACAAUCUGGAACAGACUUCAUGCAAAAUCAUUUAGAAAGUGGCGGUCCAACUAGGAUUAAAAGAGAGAUCUAGGCCUAACUAUUGGUUGAUUGACUGGCGGAUUAACUAAGAUUAUUGACUAACAGUUUGUCAUCUUUUUAAGAAUUUUGACCGAGUUAUUGAUUCUUAUCCGAUUAAUUUGUAUUUAGAAUCUUUAAGCAUCCGCCUUGUCCUCCCUAAAUAUACUAGCUGCUUAUCUAACAGUUUUUUUUUUUUUUUAAGCAACGGUUAUCUAACAGUUUACCCAUUUCAUAUGUGCCGAAUUACCAUAGAAAUAUAAAAACUCGUCCUCGUGAAGAUGAACAUGGCAACGAUGAUCUUUACCAAAAAAAAACAUGGCAACGAUGAUUUGAACGAGAGAGAGAGAGAGAGAGAGAGAGAGAGAGAGAGAGAGAGAGAGAGAGAGAGAGAGAGGGAGGGAGGGGUACACGGAAAAGCAUAAUACUCUUUAUUGUUGUUUCUCUACACACAGAGACUUCGAUAUUAUAUUGGGGUUUACAUAGGAACAUUCUUAUUAUUUUACUGUAGACGCACGCUAAUCAAUUACAUUCUUUAUUUGCAGCAGCAUAUAUCCAUCAAGAUGAUACAAGAUCCACAGUGGACGCUUAACUAAAUCAAGGGCACUUGUGUCUGCCUCCAUGAGUGGUCAUGGUGGCGUAGCAAGGGCACACGUCCUCGUUACCGGAGGUCCCGGGCGGCACACAAUUGCAACGGGCACAACAGGUUCCGCAUGCCCUCUUGCACAUCUUUUGCCUUGAUGCCAACCGGCACCUAGCAGCGCAUGCCACUCCGCAAUCUGGAAAAGAGAAGCUCGUGGCUAAUAACAUGGACUAACGAUACAAAAGAAAAUGUCAUACUGAAUAUAAAGACAUGUUGUGUGUACGUCAUUCAUCCAUAAUUUAACAAUUUCAAUUUGCGGGAAAAUAAUUUGUCGAAUAUGAUAUGAGAGGUCUGGUUUAUUCUCGAUUCUUGAAUCAACCGAGCUGAUUGUAUUCUCAAUCUACAUAGUAGCUAUGCAAAACCAUCAUAACUAAAAGCAUUUAAAUUGAGA
This 26436-nucleotide long non-coding RNA is filed under the name Eucalyptus grandis. RNAcentral's name for it is "long non-coding RNA (EGRA_LNC003666)". The record is from RNAcentral. Lineage: Eukaryota; Viridiplantae; Streptophyta; Magnoliopsida; Myrtales; Myrtaceae.